RNAcentral lists this long non-coding RNA (297 nucleotides) under Homo sapiens (human). Its description in RNAcentral is "non-protein coding lnc-IQSEC2-2:1". Lineage: Eukaryota; Metazoa; Chordata; Mammalia; Primates; Hominidae. The record is from RNAcentral.
CAACUAAAGAACUGCCUGAGUGAGGCAGAGGCUUGCGUGUCCCGAGCUCUGGGACUGGUCAGCGGCCAGGAAGCUGGCCCCCACAGGGUGGCUGGUCUACAGAUGACCCUGACUGAGCUCCGGGCCUUUCUGGACCAGAUGAACAACCUGCCUUGCGCCAUGCACCAGAUUGGGGAUGUCAAGGUGAGGACGCUUGGAGUGCUGAUGAGGGAUCAAGGGGACCAGGGGACCUGAGCAGCAGGCCAUGCUUGGCUCCUUUCAAAAGCUUAAAGUGUUCAGGCAAGACAGGACACACGU